This 246-nucleotide ribosomal RNA is filed under the name uncultured bacterium. RNAcentral's name for it is "partial 16S ribosomal RNA". It matches the Rfam family "Bacterial small subunit ribosomal RNA", at positions 523 to 769 of the family's 1533-position model. The record is from RNAcentral.
AUACGUAGGGAGCGAGCGUUGUCCGGAAUUACUGGGUGUAAAGGGAGCGUAGGCGGGAAUGCAAGUUGAAUGUGAAAUCUAUCGGCUCAACCGAUAGCUGCGUUCAAAACUGCAUUUCUUGAGUGAAGUAGAGGUUGGCGGAAUUCCUAGUGUAGCGGUGAAAUGCGUAGAUAUUAGGAGGAACACCAGUGGCGAAGGCGGCCAACUGGGCUUUUACUGACGCUGAGGCUCGAAAGCGUGGGUAGC